GGGCAAGCGGCAGCUAAUACAUGCAAGUCGGACGGGAUCCAUCGGUAGCUUGCUAUCACAUGGUGAGAGUGGCGCACGGGUGCGUAACGCGUGAGCAACCUGCCUCCAUCAGGGGGAUAGCCUCUCGAAAGAGAGAUUAACACCGCAUAACAUAAUGUUCCGGCAUCGGAGGAUUAUUAAAUAUUUAUAGGAUGGAGAUGGGCUCGCGUGACAUUAGCUAGUUGGUGGGGUAACGGCCCACCAAGGCGACGAUGUCUAGGGGCUCUGAGAGGAGAAUCCCCCACACUGGUACUGAGACACGGACCAGACUCCUACGGGAGGCAGCAGUAAGGAAUAUUGGUCAAUGGGCGGAAGCCUGAACCAGCCAUGCCGCGUGCAGGAUGACUGCCCUAUGGGUUGUAAACUGCUUUUGUCCGGGAAUAAACCUCCUUACGUGUAGGGAGCUGAAUGUACCGGAAGAAUAAGGAUCGGCUAACUCCGUGCCAGCAGCCGCGGUAAUACGGAGGAUCCGAGCGUUAUCCGGAUUUAUUGGGUUUAAAGGGUGCGUAGGCGGCCUGUUAAGUCAGGGGUGAAAUACGGUGGCUCAACCAUCGCAGUGCCUUUGAUACUGACGGGCUUGAAUCCAUAUGAAGUGGGCGGAAUAAGACAAGUAGCGGUGAAAUGCAUAGAUAUGUCUUAGAACUCCGAUUGCGAAGGCAGCUCACUAAGCUGGUAUUGACGCUGAUGCACGAAAGCGUGGGGAUCGAACAGGAUUAGAUACCCUGGUAGUCCACGCCCUAAACGAUGAUAACUCGAUGUUGGCGAUAGACAGCCAGCGUCCCAGCGAAAGCGUUAAGUUAUCCACCUGGGGAGUACGCCCGCAAGGGUGAAACUCAAAGGAAUUGACGGGGGCCCGCACAAGCGGAGGAGCAUGUGGUUUAAUUCGAUGAUACGCGAGGAACCUUACCCGGGCUUGAAAGUUAGUGAAGGAUGCAGAGACGCAUCCGUCCUUCGGGACACGAACUAGGUGCUGCAUGGCUGUCGUCAGCUCGGGCCGUGAGGUGUUGGGUAAGUCCCGC
RNAcentral lists this ribosomal RNA (1058 nucleotides) under Sphingobacterium thalpophilum. RNAcentral describes it as "bacterial SSU rRNA". It matches the Rfam family "Bacterial small subunit ribosomal RNA", at positions 33 to 1090 of the family's 1533-position model. Lineage: Bacteria; Pseudomonadati; Bacteroidota; Sphingobacteriia; Sphingobacteriales; Sphingobacteriaceae. The record is from RNAcentral.